RNAcentral lists this microRNA precursor (156 nucleotides) under Oryza brachyantha (malo sina). Its description in RNAcentral is "MIR812 microRNA precursor family". It matches the Rfam family "MIR812 microRNA precursor family", at positions 27 to 185 of the family's 205-position model. The record is from Rfam by way of RNAcentral. Lineage: Eukaryota; Viridiplantae; Streptophyta; Magnoliopsida; Poales; Poaceae.
UAUAAUGUUUGACUAUUCGUCUUAUUUGAAAUAUUUUGGUGAUUAAUAUUUUAUUAUUGUUAGAUGAUAAAACAUGAAUAAUACUUUAUACAUGACUAUUUUUAAAUUUUUCAUAAUUCUUUUAAAUAAGACGAAUAAUAAAAAGUUGGACACAGA